RNAcentral lists this ribosomal RNA (438 nucleotides) under uncultured bacterium. RNAcentral's name for it is "partial 16S ribosomal RNA". It matches the Rfam family "Bacterial small subunit ribosomal RNA", at positions 339 to 795 of the family's 1533-position model. The record is from RNAcentral.
CUACGGGGGGCUGCAGUGAGGAAUAUUGCACAAUGGGGGGAACCCUGAUGCAGCAACGCCGCGUGGAGGAUGACACAUUUCGGUGUGUAAACUCCUUUUAUAUGUCAAGAAAAUGACGGUAGCAUAUGAAUAAGCACCGGCUAACUCCGUGCCAGCAGCCGCGGUAAUAGGAGGGUGCAAGCGUUACUCGGAAUCACUGGGCGUAAAGGACGCGUAGGCGGGUUGGAAAGUCAGGUGUGAAAUCCUACAGCUUAACUGUAGAACUGCACUUGAAACUUCUAAUCUAGAGUAUGGGAGGGGGAGAUGGAAUUAGUGGUGUAGGGGUAAAAUCCGUAGAUAUCACUAGGAAUACCUAAAGCGAAGGCGAUCUCCUGGAACAUUACUGACGCUAAGGCGUGAAAGCGUGGGGAGCAAACAGGAUUAGAUACCCCUGUAGUC